RNAcentral lists this unclassified non-coding RNA (292 nucleotides) under plant metagenome. Its description in RNAcentral is "partial contains small subunit ribosomal RNA, internal transcribed spacer 1, and 5.8S ribosomal RNA". The record is from RNAcentral.
UUUCCGUAGGUGAACCUGCGGAGGGAUCAUUAUUGAAUAAACCUGAUGUGGUUGUAGCUGGCCCUUUCGGGAGCAUGUGCACACCCGUCGUCUUUAUCUUUCCACCUGUGCACCUUUUGUAGACCUGGAUGUAACACUUUCCGAGGCAACUCGGUCGGGAGGAAUGCUGUCAGCUUUCCUUGAACGUCCAGGCCUAUGUUUUCAUAUACCCCAAAGAAUGUAACAGAAUGUAUUAUUGGGCCUUGUGCCUAUAAACUAUAUACAACUUUCAGCAACGGAUCUCUUGGCUCUC